Molecule: ribosomal RNA, 850 nt
Filed under: bacterium
Lineage: Bacteria
Description: bacterial SSU rRNA
Rfam family: Bacterial small subunit ribosomal RNA
Source: RNAcentral
AGUUUGAUUCAUGGCUCAGGACGAACGCUGGCGGCGUGCUUAACACAUGCAAGUCGAGCGGUAAGGCCUUUCGGGGUACACGAGCGGCGAACGGGUGAGUAACACGUGGGUGAUCUGCCCUGCACUCUGGGAUAAGCUUGGGAAACUGGGUCUAAUACCGGAUAUGACUGCAUGCCGCAUGGUGUGUGGUGGAAAGAUUUAUCGGUGCAGGAUGGGCCCGCGGCCUAUCAGCUUGUUGGUGGGGUAAUGGCCUACCAAGGCGACGACGGGUAGCCGACCUGAGAGGGUGACCGGCCACACUGGGACUGAGACACGGCCCAGACUCCUACGGGAGGCAGCAGUGGGGAAUAUUGCACAAUGGGCGGAAGCCUGAUGCAGCGACGCCGCGUGAGGGAUGAAGGCCUUCGGGUUGUAAACCUCUUUCAGCAGGGACGAAGCGUGAGUGACGGUACCUGCAGAAGAAGCACCGGCUAACUACGUGCCAGCAGCCGCGGUAAUACGUAGGGUGCGAGCGUUGUCCGGAAUUACUGGGCGUAAAGAGUUCGUAGGCGGUUUGUCGCGUCGUUUGUGAAAACCCGGGGCUCAACUUCGGGCUUGCAGGCGAUACGGGCAGACUUGAGUGUUUCAGGGGAGACUGGAAUUCCUGGUGUAGCGGUGAAAUGCGCAGAUAUCAGGAGGAACACCGGUGGCGAAGGCGGGUCUCUGGGAAACAACUGACGCUGAGGAACGAAAGCGUGGGUAGCAAACAGGAUUAGAUACCCUGGUAGUCCACGCCGUAAACGGUGGGCGCUAGGUGUGGGUUCCUUCCACGGGAUCUGUGCCGUAGCUAACGCAUUAAGCGCCCCGCCGG